RNAcentral lists this long non-coding RNA (6679 nucleotides) under Mytilus galloprovincialis (Mediterranean mussel). Lineage: Eukaryota; Metazoa; Mollusca; Bivalvia; Mytilida; Mytilidae. The record is from RNAcentral.
GCCUUUGACAUAAUAUCGACAUAUACGUUGUAAGUAAAACCUUGAUUAUUUGACAGAGUUUGUAUCUUGCUUGAAAUUCAAUCUACGAUGAAUUUUGAAAUUGUGUUGUUGUUGAUAUUUGGAUAUAUGUCGCCCAUUUAAUUAAUUCAGAGGUCGAAAUAAGAUAUUUCGUUCUUCCCAAGAAAAAAGGUCAAGCUGAACUGACACUUAACAGUUUUGUUGGACAAAAUUUUAGCAGGAUAUGCCUACCCUUCCGGAGAACCUGAGACCACCCUCAGUUUUUUUCUUUUUUUUGUCUGUCUUUUUCUUUUUUUGCCAUGUCGUUGUCAGUUUAUUUCUGGUCUACGAACAAGAAUGUCCCUCUGGUAUCUUUCAUCCUCUUUUCUUUGACAAGCUUAGUGUAUUCAAAUUUAUUAUAGAAUGAGUAAUAUGUAAACGUUUUGUUUUAUAUUUCUGUUUAACAUAUUAGAUAAUAGUUCUUAUCUAAAACUUAUAUCAGGAGAAAUCCACAGUUUAUAGCCUUUCAAUAUCGUCAUUAUCAUGAUAAUUUCUUGGACUAGUAUUGUGAAAAUAAUUGUUAAUAUUCUAGCUCAUUCCAUUCAAUUGUAUGAAGUUAAAUAUAAUAUAUUCGUCACAAAAAUACGUCGAUGUUUGUGGAGUCCCAUGCUGUCAUUAAUGAAAGAUGUUCAAUGUUGCUCUACAUGUCAAAUGUAUACUUUCAUAUCCCUUAUUCAUUCCUUUCUCUGUGUUGAGUGUUCUUUCGUUUGUUUUUCUGUAUUACUUUUAUUAUAUGUAGUAUUGUCAUAUUUGUUUAUUACAGAAGUGGAGUUUUAAAAACCCAUAAAACCAGGUGCAUCCCACUAUUGUUUCUUUAUAUGUGUGUACCAAGUCAGGAAUAUCGCAGUUGUUAUCAAAAAGACCGUUUCUAUGUAUGUUGGCGUUAGCUUUUAUUGCACUUUGAAAUAAGUGUUUCAUUGUUUUCCAUUUUUUCCUGUUGAAGAUCAUGUGUUUCCUUAGGUUUUAAUGAGUAAAGCCUCGGUCAAAUCUAACGAAUAGUUCGAUCGAAUGACUACCGGAUAAAAAAAAUUUUAAUCCGUUCAUGUCCGUUAGAGGUCCUUUCUUAUCCGUAAGAAAUCCGUUCAUAUCCGUUUUAUGUCUGUUUAGCGUACGUUUUAUCCGUCGACGUCCGUUCUGUCCGGCGGAAAAUUUUGAGCAUGUUCAAAACUUGGAACCGACGUCCAAUGGAUGAAGUGUCCGUUGAACGUCUGGUAGGCGUCUGUUUUCAAGGUACUCGUCCGUCCGUCUUGUUUCCACUUUGUAUCCGUUACUUGUCCGUUAUACAUCCGAUGGAGGUCUUGUAGAAAAAUUCACCAACGGACUUUUACCGGACGUUAAAUGUAUGAAACGGAUGUUUAACGAAUGUGAAACCGACUUCUACACGACGUAUAACGGAUAAAACGGAUGAUGAAAAAGUAAAAUCACAAAAAUACUGAACUUAGAGGAAAAUCUAAUCGGAAAGAUUAUAAUCACAUUGUAAAAUCAAAUAACAAAACAUAUAAAAGCGAAUGAACAAGAACUGUCAUAUUCCUGACGUGGCACAGACAUUUUUGAAUGUAGAAAAUGGUGGAUUAAACCUGGUUUUAUAGCGCUAAUUAUAACCCUCUCACUUUGAUGACAGUCUCAUCAAAUUCCGUUAUAUUUACAAUGAUGUGUGAACUAAACAGGCAUAAUAAAUUAAAUAGUCAAAAUAUGGAUACAGCAGUCAUCAUCGUGUAACAAUUUUAAAAGGAACAAUUUAACAGAACACAAUAAAAGUGAUGAACGGAUCUGAAACGGAUAAAUGCCAAUUGAAAAUUUUGCUUCAGGAAUGCCAAUUAUUGGUAUGUCAGAUUUUUUUUGAGGUUCGUGAAUUCUUUUUAUUCAUAAUCGAUCUUAAAGUAAGGGCACGUCUUCACUAUCAAUCAGCUCUUAUUCAGGCCAGACACUGCCCUUUUACAACAUUUUGAAGAACAAACUAAGAGCAGUUACAAAGAAGCAUUUUAAAUAUUUAUGCGUUUUACAUGUAUUUUUAUUGGCGCUUUUAGUUAUUUCGUAUAUCUUAUUCAUCUGUUUUAUCCAGUACGCCUCCGUUAGGUGUCAGUUUUAUGCAGUUCACGUCCGUUGGAUGUACGUUCAACAUCCGUCAUGUCUGGUACGUUUCCGUUUCUCGAACGUUGCAUAUCCGAUGUGUGUCCGUUUACAUUCGAUACGCAUACGUUUUAUUAGGUCAGUAUAUCAAUGGAAUCCCAACGGAUAACAAUUUUGUCAACGGACAACUUUUAUUUUCGUCCGUUAGGCGUCCGAUCUAACAUCCAGUAAGGUGUGACCGAGGCUUAACACGUUUUUUUUUCUAUCGUCAAUUUUAUUGAUGUUGAAUAGUGAUACACUGAUGUUGGCAUAUAUUUAUUACCAAUGUUAUUUCAAUUGAUCGGGCGGAGCUUAAAUUUUAAUUUGCAUAAGGACAGUCUAUGUGAAGAUAUGUGUGAUAAGGAUGAUUUCCGUUAUAAUUAUUAUUGAUUUCUAAUCAUCUAUCAGUUUCGACUAACGAAUUUACUUCAAAGAUGAGUGCAUGAUCGAUAUUGGAGGCAAAGAACAAAAUAAAAAUAAAAAAAUAUUUAUAAGUGCUAUAGCUUAGUAUUUUAAAGUAUUGGCUCUGGUAUUAUUCUAUUUAAAUAUUUCUAAUUGUGAGACAAAAUUAUAAAAAAUAUGUUAAAAAUAAGAUAUUUACACUUUUUUUCCCUUCCUUAUAUAUAAUCAUAAUACAAGCUUUAAAAAAAAAGAAAUGCGUUAUAGUAUUACAAAAUAUGCAUAUUUUGCAACUGCCGUUGUCACAGUUAUACUUUAAUUUCCACAAUUUAUUAAAUGUAACACUUAAUUAUAACAUGUUUAUAAACUCCGAAAGAGUGUUUACGUUUUUUAACCGGAUCAAUGACCAUGACUUCACUACAUGACUAUCCACUUCAUUGAUGAGUUUAUUCCAAAACACCUAUCUAUAGAUAGACUGGUCUGUGAAGAGCGAACCGUUUAAACUCCGCUCAGUCAAGUGAAAUAAAUCAAGUAAUAAUACUAGUUCAAAUCAACGAAUAAUGAUUUUAUUUAUAUAUCAUUUUAUUCUGGUAUCACCUAAGUUGGACAAAGGUAUACAGAAAAACACAUUAGUUUACAUUACAUUGAUAAAGAGAAACUAGGCUAGGUGUUUUGUAUUUAUUUAACUACUUCGUAGAUUGUAAUUGUUUGUCUCCAACGAGAUGCAGGUAUUGAAUCGUAUAAGUAUUUGAGAACACCCCUUAUAUUGUAAAAUAGAUUCUUUUUUACUUCUCGUCUAAUUUGUAACAUCCUGUUUGUAAAUAGAGUGAAUGAGUGCUUGUUAGACAAGUGACAAUACGUGUUGAUUUCAGCUGUGAUUUGUCUGAUCUUACAGAAUUUAAUUGUCCACUUUGAUUAAAAACUUCAGAUAAAUAUUUUAGAAUGAAAAUAACAAAAGAUAGAUAUCAGUUUUUGUUAGUUGUUUCCUUUUCAACCAGGUUUUCAAUCGUCUAUUAACAUUUAAUUGUUUUGAUACUUUUUUUAUAAGUGUCUCUUGAUUUCAUGCACCGACUUUCAUACGAAUUAAAAUUAAGAAUGGAAAUGGUGAAUGUGUCAAAGAGUCAACAACACGACCAAAGAGAAGAAAACUGCCAAUGGCCAUCAAUGGGUUAAAAAUACAGCGAGAAAAUCCCGCAGCCGGAGGCGUGCUUCAGUUAACCCCUAAACAAAAAUGUGUACUAGUUCAGUAAUAAUGGACAUCCAACUUAACUCAAAAUUAUAAAAAUGAACUAAAAUUACAUAUCAUACCAGAUGUCUUGACUUGGCACAGGCACAAAAAUGCGGCGGGGUUAAACAUGUUUUUGAGAUAUCAACCAUCCCCCUAUACCUAUUAACAAUGUAAAAAAACAAACACGCAGCAAUACACACAGUAACAUUCAGUUAAAAUAAGUCCGAUGUCAGAAUAGGUCACAAAAGAAACAAAAUGACUUACAUGCGGCAAAGCUUAGCGAAAGGUAGUACGACGUAAUCAGUCAAACAAACCUUAUUAGAUUAACUCGUAAAGGAACGGUCUGCAUUGGUCAAUUUGUGCCAAAUACGGUUAAGGUAAUCUAUGCCUGGGAUAAGAAAUCCUUAGUUUUCCGAAAAAUUCAAAAUUUGGUAAACAGGAAAUUUAUAAAAAUGACCACAUUAUUGAUAUCAUGUAACACGGAGUGCUGACUACUGGGCUGGUGAUACCCUCGGGCACGAAACGUCCACCAGCAGUGACAUCGACCCAGUGGUGUAAAAGAACAUUUUGUUCUUUCUUUAUUUUGUUGUAAUCUCUGUAGGUGUCUUUUUAUUUUUAAGUCUAUGUGUUCCUGUCUUUUUUUUUAAAUUAGUUUGUUCGGUUUUUGUUUUACUGAAUUCGUCACCCGGACCAUUUUGCCAAAUAUUAUCCUGCCGUUUUAUAUCUUUCGCAAGUUUUAAGAAUUCGACUAAGAAUAGUAUGAUUUUUUUCUGAUUCAGUUUACUUAAUUUUGAAAAUAAAUCCUGAAAUUCUAAGUAAAUUCAGAACAUGUAACCAACCAUACUUUGUUUAGAGAAAAAUGGAGAUGUCAAACCAUGGCGCAGUGGAAGGAAAUGUACUUUAUAAACUCCAGUGAUAUACUUAAUGAAUUUUGAAAUUAACUGGUUUCCUAACCAGUUAGGUUGAAAAACGAACGUUAAUCAUGUUAGUUAUCUAUUGUAAAUAUUUAAAUACUUACAUAUAAAACAAUCAGUUUUUAAAAGCUUGUUUAUUCAUUAAAUGUAUUAAUACAAAGAUGGGUUCCUUCUUAUACAUGCAUUCAGUCUGAGUCAUCCUUAUUAAUAAUUUCUUUAUAUUUCGUUUAUCAGUUUAUUUUUCAUGUAUGAUUUUGUAUUUCAAAUAUGCAUGCAUGCAAAACGUCACUUUGGCGGAUAGUUCAACAAUGUUAUGCAAAUCACUAUGCUUACGGUAUGAAAUUAAAAGAUAAGUUGUCAGCCAAUUUAAAUCGACGACAGUGCAUUUAUAUUGUUCCUUAUAAACUACGAUAUUUCUCAAUGGUAUUUAUUUAUAUUUUUAGUUCUACAUAUACAAAAGAAAAAAUCUUUUGAAAAAUAAACAGUCCUUUUUUAAAUGUUUACACCAACAUGACUUUAUUGAAUUCAUUUGAAUUUCGUGGUGACCAUAAUAGUACAUUGCAUACUACGUCUUCAUUCCCGUGUACAAAUGAUACGGUUGUUCUGUUUCUAUAUUUCGGAUACAAUUUGCUCCGUUUAUGAUACGUAAUUUCUGAAUGACCAAACACUUAGCUACUGUGUAACGUUCUGUAUGUUCGUUUUAUAGCAUGAAAACACUAAACGGGGAAUAUGCAACCCAUCAUAAAUUAUUGUAAUGGAUCAGUAUUAUGAGAUUCUAAUUUUAAGUAACUACGACAUUGAAAGAAAUAUUUUUCAUAAUGCGGUAAAAGAUAAUUAUGCUGCUGCAGUAUAAUGUUUCGCCACAACUAUUUGAAAUUUACAAAAUAUUCAUUUAAUUCUUUUGACCAAUUAUUUGUAAACUAAAUUGUCAAAUCCUUGUUUUUGCGAGUAACAUAGUACAUUCCAUACUCAGUCACCUGUGUCAAUUCACGUGCACACUACAAUUGUUGUUGUAAUUGAUUCUUUCGGCCAAUAAAAUGAGACGUUACAAGUUAAAAUUGAGAAUGGAAAUGGGGAAUGUGUCAAAGAGACAACAACCCGACCAAAUAAAAAACAACAGCAGAAGGUCCACAGGUUUCAAUGUAGGAGAAAUUCGCCCGGAGGGUCUUCAGUGCCCUAACAUAUAUAUAUCAGUUAGUGAUAAUGAACGCAUACUAUUUUCAUUGUACACAAGAAACUAAAAUUAAAAUAAUACAAGACUAACAAAGGCCAGAGGCUCCUGACUUGGGACAGGCGCAAAAAUGCAGUUUGUUUGUUUGUGAUACGCUUGAAUGUUAUCUAUGAACUAUCAAACGCUAAAGUUGAUGCAUUUCAGUGUAAACAUGUACAUAAAUUAACAAAAGACGUACUAGCAGUUACGUCCAUGCCAGUUCCAGAACUUAAUUUAAAAGAAUGGAAGAUUAUGUCUUCAUCAAAUGAAUAUCAACCACAAUCCAUCCCGUAAGGAGUUUAGUAUAUUACCAUUAUAAAAAAUAUGGGAAGAACAUAACCCGUAUCAUGCCAACAACUGAUUUUAAAAUGAAUGUGUUUAUUUCCGAUACGAGACCCUAUAAGUGAAUGAACAUUAAAGCCAAAAUAUCUUAAAUGACCUGAUAUAACAUUUUUAUAAGAUAUCUUUAGUGUUAUCCUGCAAACCGUUUACGAUUACUUAAUGCGCAAACAUUUUUACAAACCAAAUACAUAACUGCAUGCUUCUAAAACUAUUUCCCUAGAUUGCCAAGGAAAAGAUUGCUGUCUUAUGAUGUAAAAAAUGGAUGACAAUCUAUAAAAGCACAUGAUGUGAAAAAAACAGGCCUGAUUACCAUCAGACAAUGGAAGAAGAACCUUCGACAUCAAGUGGCAUAAAACGUUCUAUCCCACAAGAGUUACAAGAUGAAAUCGAUGAGAUAGUUUCAAAACGUCCACGAGCAAC